AAGUUGAAUGAAGAUUUACUGAGAAUAAAGAAAACAGAAAUGAAAGGAAAACAGAGGAGUACUGAAAAGUUUAAAAACUUGUAGGUCAGGAAACAUCAUAAGCAACACUGAAAGCAAUUUUAAAAAGUGAAACUGAGAACAAGAGUUGUCUUAGAUCUGCUGACAAACUGUUAAUAUCAUGACUUGGUAGAAAUCUGUAACAUCAUAGCUCCCCUGCCAACCUUGCCCCUCAGGAGUCAGCAUGGCUGUAUUCACCAGAAAGCACAGUGACUUCAGCAAGGUGGCUGCAUAGUCUCCAGUGUGAACAAAGUCUGGAGAUAAGCAGUCCCAGGCAGGUGAUGCUUCCAUGAAGACACCAACAGCCAGGCUCUUUGCAGUUUAAGCACUCUACCCCUCCCAGGGUGGCCGUAACCUUGUUCCAGAUGUUGCCACAGCAAACAGCAUCACAGCCAUGUUUCCGGCAGCAGAAACAGCAGAGGGGGAGGAAGGAAGGAUUUUAGGAUGCAAAUCCGUUUAUAUGGUGUGCUUCCAGUGACAUUUAAAAUUUGCAGUGAAAGUCCCAUAAUCCAGGUGAGCCUAUAUUUGAAAGUAACCUGUUAGGUCCUAGAGGUCGAUGGGAGGGAGGGGUGUCUGGGACUCCUCUGUUAGCCACAGAAGAGAUGGUUGUGGUAUAUGUCAGUGGCUGGCUGGCAGGAAGACUGGCUGUCCUGCCAUGUUAAGGGUUGUAUUUGAGGGGUAUUCAAAAUAAUGAUGGUCCUUCAGAGGAGAUUUUGAAGAAUUUCGCACGGAACAGGUUUUCCAGGAACUUAAAAAAUAUAUUUAUGUGUGAUUGAUGGUGUCCUCUGAUAAAUUGCAUCAGAAAGUUUAUACUAACAAGAAAUAUAUUUUCAUCCAUUAAAGUACAGAGUAAAAA
Molecule: long non-coding RNA, 913 nt
Filed under: Homo sapiens (human)
Lineage: Eukaryota; Metazoa; Chordata; Mammalia; Primates; Hominidae
Description: HSALNT0399881
Source: RNAcentral